This is a long non-coding RNA of Tigriopus californicus, 1891 nucleotides long. RefSeq lists it as uncharacterized. The transcript is spliced from 3 exons. The record is from RefSeq and is a predicted model, not a curated record. Lineage: Eukaryota; Metazoa; Arthropoda; Copepoda; Harpacticoida; Harpacticidae.
GGGGUCCGUCUGGUUGGUGUCGAAAUCCAAGCCAAUGGCGGUCUGGACUUGGUUGUCCAAGUCAGUCAAAUGGUCAUGACUUUGAGGGGUCAAAAUCAAUGGUCGAGCACCGUCACCCUCGUGGUGAUGGUCCUUUGGCGAUGGGGUUGUUAGGGUUGAUCCGAGGCUGUGAUCAUGGUGGUGGCCAACUGGAGAAAAGAGGUUUUGUGAUUCAGACUGAAUAAGCUGCGUGAAAAUGGAAUGCUCACCAAACAAUUCAAUGCAUAAAAGCGUGCAAAAUCCCAGGACCACAAAGGAAAAUUGGAGCAAACCCGGCACCGACUUUGUCCGCUCUCGUUGUAGCACCUCAAAUACCACAACGUAAAGGAUUGUUCCCGCGGCAAGACCUUAAAUUUGAGAAAUAUACAAUAAUGACUAAUUCAACGCCCGGCACACAUCUGACCGAACUUAAUUGUUCUACUCAAGUUUGGACGCGUAUUUGUUGAGAUGUGGGAAGCUCAAGAAUGUUGGUUUGUAAAGCUUGUUCGAAUACUGCUAAGGUUCCCUUUUUUGUGAACAAAUACCUAAUAUUUUCUCUUUGAUUCAAGCUCGCUCAACCAAUGAAUGUUUCAAUCCUUCCGAUCACCGGAAAAGGCUUCUCAAUCUCUUUUUUCUAAGGAAAGGCCUUUUUCCGACCUUGACACAGAUUAAUUCUAAGUUUUUUACCUUCAAACUACUUUGAAUUAUGCUUGAGAAAAAGUGAUACAAGGUUAUUUAUUGGGUAUUACCAUAAAAACAAAUAUAACUUUGUAAAUAAACAUCACAUUACAAAGCAUGGGCUUAUUAAGUAAGAUGUAUUUUUAUAGCAUUAAUAUUUCACGGUUUCUCAAGGGCUGAUGGAACUGUAGUUUUCUUUUCUCUUAUAUUCUCUCAUACCUUUACCCUGAAUGAACUUUGAAAUGUUUUAGGUGGCUCAAACCAAAAUAUUGUGCUGCUCACAAUUUUUGCUCUUUCAAUCAUCAGAUUUUUGAGACAUUGAAUUAAAUGUAUUGAUUUCCCCCUCGAUAUACUUCAAGGUAGAAAAAAAUAUAUUGGAUAAAGAAAGGUGCUUUGGAGAGCAAGUCGCCUCUGGGAAUCUUUAAACAGGUUAAUGUCAGGAGGUAAGGUAGCUCACAAAGAUAUGAUCUUUCUCUGAAAUAGUUCAAGUAGUUCACAACAUAGAUUUGAAUGUACCAAAACCGGUGUUUGAAAAGCCACAUUUCAAAAACCCACAUCUACUUUGUUCAACGUACAUUUUCAAAUCAAAAAAUUCUUAUCCUCUUCCAAUCUCACCUUGCAAGAUUCCAACCACUAGAGAGUGACCUUCAGGAUCAAAGGCCGAGGCUUCAGCGAUGAGAAUGCCAAUGGCGAUCCCCAAGGGCGAUACCAAGGCAAAGUUCUCACCUAUGAACAGAGUCCAGACGUCUCUGACGGUCUCCUCUAAGCCAACGGCUAAUCCCUCGAAGAUGGCGUGGAAUGACAAGGCCAGAAUAGUAAUGAAGUCCUUGAAGGCGGCCGCCCUCUUUUGGGUGACAGCGGUGGAUGCGGAGGUGUUGACAGGCCCAUCAGGACUAUGGUAAUUGGGAAACAUGGAUUGGGCAGACGUGCUGAGAUUGACCGCAUACUUCGGGUUGAACACCUUGGGGUUGUCUGUGACAAGAAGAUUUGCAGGAGAUCACGAUCUGGGUUGUGGUAACAAAGAUAGCUUUGCGGCCGGAAAUGACUCAUGUUUGGGGCAUAACUUUCUCAAACGAGUGAAUGCAAAGUUCCACAAAGUACAACUAAUCAGACACCUCACCCAAAAGACAAGUCACUUCUGCUGGUACCUGAGGUCUCUUGUUCCAUUGAAGGCGUUUCAGUGGGCGGGAUACCA